AUGAAACCACCAGCUUUUGGUGCUUCGGACUUGGAAUUGAUAGAUCUCCCAGGAUCUGAGAUGUGCAAUGCAAACGAGCAGAAACUAGAAUCGUCAGGCAAUCUUAACACUGUAAACUGUAAUGGUACAGGUUCUGCGCCAAUUUCGAAUGUCACUAGCAUGCCUAACUUGCGAGAAGACAAAAGUGGAACUGCAGAUCAGCUCGGUGCAAAUAACACAGCAGAGGACCCCAAAUAUGACAGUGGCCCUUCUCGUACAUGUAGAGGAUAUCCCACGAUCCAGGAUUUGAUAGAUGACUGCCCUUCUUUUGAUCUUGGCUUCUAA
RNAcentral lists this ribosomal RNA (324 nucleotides) under Triticum aestivum (bread wheat). RNAcentral describes it as "partial small subunit ribosomal RNA". The record is from RNAcentral. Lineage: Eukaryota; Viridiplantae; Streptophyta; Magnoliopsida; Poales; Poaceae.